RNAcentral lists this ribosomal RNA (253 nucleotides) under uncultured bacterium. RNAcentral's name for it is "partial 16S ribosomal RNA". It matches the Rfam family "Bacterial small subunit ribosomal RNA", at positions 524 to 776 of the family's 1533-position model. The record is from RNAcentral.
UACAGAGGUCCCAAGCGUUGUUCGGAUUCACUGGGCGUAAAGGGUGCGUAGGUGGUGAGAAAAGUUUGGUGUGAAAGCUUCGAGCCUAACUCGAAAAUGGCAUCAAAAACUUUCUUGCUAGAGGGUUGGAGGGGAGACUGGAAUUCUCGGUGUAGCGGUGAAAUGCGUAGAUAUCGAGAGGAACACCGGUGGCGAAGGCGAGUCUCUGGACAACUCCUGACACUGAGGCACGAAAGCUAGGGGAGCGAACAGG